Molecule: ribosomal RNA, 385 nt
Filed under: marine copepod environmental sample
Lineage: Eukaryota; Metazoa; Arthropoda; Copepoda
Description: partial small subunit ribosomal RNA
Rfam family: Eukaryotic small subunit ribosomal RNA
Source: RNAcentral
AGCUCCAAUAGCGUAUAUUUAAUUUGUUGUGGUUAAAAAGCUCGUAGUUGGAUUUCGGCGGGGAUUGGUUGGGUUGAAUUUCUUUCAUACUGACUUUUUUACCCGUGUGUUUUGUCAGAAUUUGGUGGGGGGCCUUAAUCGAUUGUCCGGUUGAACUGGCUGGUUUACUUUGAAAAAAUUAGAGUGCUCAAAGCAAGCUUGACUGCUUGAAUAUUCGUGCAUGGAAUAAUAGAAUAGGAAGUUGUUUCUAUUUUGUUGGUUCUCGGAAAUCGACUUAAUGAUUAAUAGGGAUAGUCGGGGGCAUUUGUAUUCAAACGACAGAGGUGAAAUUCUUGGACCGUUUGAAGACAAACUACUGCGAAAGCAUUUGCCAAGAAUGUUUUCA